This is a long non-coding RNA of Rattus norvegicus (Norway rat), 532 nucleotides long. Ensembl lists it as uncharacterized. Lineage: Eukaryota; Metazoa; Chordata; Mammalia; Rodentia; Muridae. The record is from Ensembl.
CUUGUUGAAAACAUUUAUGUUUUUAAAUUACACGUAUAUUGGUGUAUGUGUGCUUUUGUACACACAUGUGUACAUGUUGCACAUAUGAGUGCAGGGGCCUGAAGGGGCCAGAAGGAGCUUUGGAUCCCCUGGAAGUGGAAUUACAGUUGGGAGCUGCCUGAUGAGCAGGGUUAUUUACUGGAGCAGAUGACUCAAAGGCAGGAACGUCUUCAAAAAGUUCACCCCAGCAUAAAUGAGGACUCAUGCAAUCUCUAUACUGGAGCUCUACAUGACUUAGAGGCAGCUGGACACUCCGGAGACUCUCCUCUCACCAGCUGGGAUGCUGAGAGUGACGAUGAACAGUCUGCUUUAGAACUGCUGCUUGCGGGCUGGAGAGAUGGCUCAGUGGUUAAGAGCACUGACUGCUCUUCCCGAGGUCCUGAGUUCAAAUCCCAGCAACCACAUGGUGGCUCACAACCAUCUGUAGUGGGAUCCAGUGCCCUCUUCUGAUGUGUCUGAAGACAGCGACAGUGUAUUCAUACAUAAAAUAAAU